Non-coding RNA from Cherax quadricarinatus, 202 nucleotides. The record is from RefSeq and is a predicted model, not a curated record. Lineage: Eukaryota; Metazoa; Arthropoda; Malacostraca; Decapoda; Parastacidae.
AUCGCUUUUUCGGCCUUUUGGCUAAGUAAAAAGUUUUGGUUAUCUGUUUUUUAUCAGUUAAUAUCUGAUACGAUCCCCCAGGUGGGUUUCGAUAUUAAACUGUUUUUUGGACAUGGCGAAGUGCUGGGGGCUUGCUCCCCCUUUUGGGCCGCGGAAUGGGCCCCGGUUUUAUUGCAGUACCCCCGGGAUUGGCCCACCCCCU